UACGUAGGGGGCAAGCGUUGUCCGGAAUCAUUGGGCGUAAAGAGCGUGUAGGCGGUCCGGUAAGUCGGCUGUGAAAGUCCAGGGCUCAACCCUGGGAUGCCGGUCGAUACUGCCGGACUAGAGUUCGGAAGAGGCGAGUGGAAUUCCCGGUGUAGCGGUGAAAUGCGCAGAUAUCGGGAGGAACACCUAUGGCGAAGGCAGCUCGCUGGGACGUUACUGACGCUGAGACGCGAAAGCGUGGGGAGCAAACAGG
Molecule: ribosomal RNA, 253 nt
Filed under: uncultured bacterium
Lineage: Bacteria
Also listed under: 2 other names
Description: partial 16S ribosomal RNA
Rfam family: Bacterial small subunit ribosomal RNA
Source: RNAcentral